CUGUUAGUUAGAUGUGAAAUCUAAUGGGUUACACACAUAUGAAGAUUGGCCAAGGACCCUUUUGAAAAAGGUUGAUUGAAAUUUUGGAUUUAAUCAGGGCUUCGGUAAGCAUGCUAGCACGUGUGGAACCCUUGCUCCUUUGGAAGUCAAUUUGGUCUCAUCCCUUGCUAAUUAGCUAGCCUAAUUUAGUGGGUAUUUGGGUCAGAUCAUACCACCUAAAAGCAAUCCAAAUUGAGAUGCACAUCUCAUUUUAACGCCAAUUAUGAAGAGUCCAAGUUGUGAAGGACUCUUGGCGCAAAACAGGUUCUGCAUACAAGUGUUGGCAUGGGCAGAAGAAAAGAGUCCUUCUGGUAUGAGAUUAAGAUACGUGUGGUAGUUCAUAUCACCCUCCUUCCUCUGGUGCACAUCUCAAAGUAUGAGAUGUAUUUUUUCUAAAAUUUUUGGGGCAGAGAAAAAUUAGAAAAAGAAAGUUUCACGUGUGCACGCAGAAGCAUCGCGUCUCUUUAAGAUUUGGAGAGUCCUUCUCCACAACCAAUACUUUCGAAAUGGAACUAUUUUUGGUGAUAACAUUCAAAAUUUGACAAGCUAUUUUUGAUAAUUUUUUUGAAAUUUUUUCAGACUUAUCUAAAUGCCAAACGGACACCAUAAAUUCCUCCUCGUGCCUGCAUGCGGGGUGAUCAGACUUCACAUGAAAGGAUGUGAGAAGACAUUCAUUUGUGGAAAUUUUUAUUUACUUAUUAUAUAUUUUGGAAUUAAGAUUGAAUCCUCUAUCCACAUGAAUUUUUUAGGAUUUUUUUAAUUUGAGAAGGGAUGUGAAAACAUCCCUUCUCUGGUCGUGCAUGCAGAGCAGGGUGCUGAUCGACAUAUCAUUGAUAAGAGUCCUUCUGUUUGGAGGAACUCUUAUCUCUGAUAAUCAGAUUAGAUAGGCCUCUUGGAUGAGGCGUAUACCUCUCUUUUGGUGUCCCUCUAGUGGCUAUAAAUUAGUUGGGGUACUGGGUGUCCGAUGCAUUCAGAAAGAGUUUUCAAUUUUGUCUCCGUUGCUCUCUUUUCUUUCUUACAAUCUAUCUUAGUUUUAGGAUAAGACUUUAGGAUUUAAGACAAAGCCAUAUCUGAUCCUAACAAGGGUUAUGAGUGUCCUAAAGAAGGAGAAUCAAAAGUUCAGAGGAGGUUCUAAGAGGGUAGAGUCAGUUUCUUAGAGAAACCUGAUCGGUAUGAGGCUAGUCGAGUUCUAGUGGUUAGAACUCUUGAAGCAAGGUGAAGGAGCGCUGUCCUUGGUUCAGUUUUCGUGUGAAUCACCAUUGGAGGGCAGACAUUUGGAUCCCUUGUGAAAAUUGGGAUUAGCGCUAUAAGUAUUCUUCUUAUCCUAAUUUAUAUUUAUUGUACUUUGAUUAUUAUAGUC
RNAcentral lists this long non-coding RNA (1399 nucleotides) under Elaeis guineensis (African oil palm). RNAcentral describes it as "long non-coding RNA (EGUI_LNC045346)". The record is from RNAcentral. Lineage: Eukaryota; Viridiplantae; Streptophyta; Magnoliopsida; Arecales; Arecaceae.